AAUGUUUUUAAAGUUUAAAAAGUAUAGUUUGUAGCUGUAGUUUAAUUUUCGUCUUAUGAACAGAUACUUUGAAAGUUCAUGUUUGAUAGUGAUGAAUCGUGGAAUUAAUAUGGAGCUUUGUAGUUCUUGAAUUUUGAAUUCAUCUCCCAGCCAGUCAUUUACGAUAAGCACAACGGUCACCCUCAUAACGCCUUAUGUAAUACUAUAAGCCCAUAUUUAACACUAAAUAUCAGAAUUUUGUAUACUUCUUCAUCAGCUAUCUACUUGAUUCAAAAAGUUGACAGUCUGACUGGUCCAGUGGUGUAGAAGAAUCCAGGACCCCAAGCUCAAGACCUGUUUCGCGGCUAAGAUUGUAAAACACGCCCGCGUUUCAACUGCUUGAUGUCGAGAUGUGGUAAAUAUAUUGAAGAUUAGCGAGUUCCUAACUUUAUGUCGUAAAGCUGGCCUAACCUUGAAAUUAUAGUCUUUUUAAAUUAGAAAAGUGAAUCCAUUAUGAAGACAUGAAUCCAAGUUAGACUAAAGGAAAAUUUUAUUUUGAAUGACCAAUAUAAAAUAUUUUAAUAUGAAAUUACUAAUAAUCUCCACUAUAGCUGAGACGGCGUGAAGUUCAGAGUAAAAACCUGUCACAAGAAAUUAUCAAAAACACGCUUUAAACUUUGAAAUACAUGUCAUGGAGCUACUUAGCUUGAUGUCUGCAAUUGAGUAGCGCCAAAUAUUUCAAUAUAGUUGCACCACGUGGUAAUAAAAUAAGUGUAAUUGUUGGUUUGCUAUGCACCAAUGGGAGUGGGGAAGCGGGUAAUAUCCCAUGAUACUUUGCAAAUAAUUAUAAACAAUAAUCGUUUCGGCGCGAAUAACGUGUUUUAUUGAAGUGAUUUGAGAGGUGGGUGUCUUCUGUUCGUUGUCAAAGUACCACAAUGUUAGACGUGAUACGCAGCUUGAAAAGUCUGUUGAAAACCAGUAGAAUACAGAUAGACAACGACGUAUUUAGGCUACAUUAUGCAGUAACCGUUACGGUACUGUUAGCGUUCACUAUAGUUGUAUCGAUGAAACAGUUCGUGGGGGAUCCAAUCGACUGUAUCAAAAGCGAAGAAGUACCCCAGAGUAUAAUCAACACAUAUUGCUGGAUCCACGCAACUUUUUCACUACCUAGUGCCUACGACAAAAUUGUGGGUAAGGAAAUUCCUUAUCCAGGAGUCGACGCAGGUUAUUUGCCCAGCGACUUAAGCUCCCAAGAACUCAAAUAUCACAAAUAUUACCAAUGGGUGUGUUUUAUGUUGUUUUUUCAAGCGGCAUUGUUUUAUUUUCCUAAGUGGCUUUGGAAGUUAUGGGAAGGUGGGAAAAUCCAAGCCUUGAUGAUGGACCUGGACAUUGGACUGUUUGCAGAAACGGAGAAGAAACAGAAGAAGAAGCUCUUGGUUGAUUAUUUAACAUGUAGUUCAGGGCAGCAUGAUUGGUAUGCCUUAAAAUAUUUUUUUUGUGAGGCCUUAACGUUUGUCAAUGUUGUUGGUCAGAUGUUUCUAAUGAACCUUUUCUUUGAUGGAGAAUUUUUAACGUAUGGUUUGGAUGUUAUACAAUUUUCCGAAAUGGAACAAAGCGAGAGGUUAGAUCCCAUGAUUCGAGUUUUCCCGCGGGUUGCAAAAUGCAGGUUUUUCAAGUUUGGUGCAUCUGGAAAUCUAGAAUCACACGAUGCUUUAUGUUUGUUGCCUUUAAACAUAGUUAAUGAAAAAAUUUACAUAUUUCUAUGGUUUUGGUUCAUAGUUUUGGCGAUUCUUACUGGAUUAGUUCUUAUUUAUCGGGUUGUUAUUAUUGCCUGUCAGCCCGUGAGGGUGUAUUUGUUAAACUUUCGUUUUCGAAUCGUCUGCCCGGAAGAUUUAAAAACUGUCGUUAAAAAUGGUUCUAUUGGAAAUUGGUUCAUUAUAUUCAUGUUGGGACUGAACAUAGAUCCAGUGAUUUUUAAAGAAGUGAUUGAAGAAUUGGCCAAAAGAGUGAAAACGGAUCGAAAGGACGUUGCUUAACGAUUUAGGCUAAGGUUAUUAUAUAAUUUAUUAAUUAUAAUAAAUUAUGUUCAAGAAGCCUUGCACGUGUGUUUUCCUAAUUUUCAGUGCAUAGUCUAUUUUCUUCUG
This 2123-nucleotide unclassified non-coding RNA is filed under the name Limulus polyphemus (Atlantic horseshoe crab). Its description in RNAcentral is "innexin shaking-B-like, transcript variant X1". The record is from RNAcentral. Lineage: Eukaryota; Metazoa; Arthropoda; Merostomata; Xiphosura; Limulidae.